AUACGGAGGGUGCGAGCGUUAAUCGGAAUUACUGGGCGUAAAGCGUACGUAGGCGGUUGGGUAAGUUAGAUGUGAAAGCCCCGGGCUUAACCUGGGAACUGCAUUUAAAACUGGCGAACUAGAGUUGAGUAGAGGGGAGUGGAAUUUCAGGUGUAGCGGUGAAAUGCGUAGAGAUCUGAAGGAACACCAGUGGCGAAGGCGACUCCCUGGACUCGAACUGACGCUGAGGUACGAAAGCGUGGGUAGCAAACGGGAUUAGAAACCCUAGUAGUCC
This 274-nucleotide ribosomal RNA is filed under the name uncultured bacterium. RNAcentral describes it as "partial 16S ribosomal RNA". It matches the Rfam family "Bacterial small subunit ribosomal RNA", at positions 523 to 796 of the family's 1533-position model. The record is from RNAcentral.